GAAGCCCUAAACCUAAGCACUGUAUUUCUAGGAAGAAAAAGGAAAAAAGAAGGAGAGAGGAAGAAGGCAGGAAUAUUAAUUGAGAGGGCCCUUCAAACAAGAAUGGAUAAGUAUUCUCUCAGAAAUGCUUUUGUUUCUAAAAGCCCUGAGCUAAAAAGUUUCCGUUGGACUACAUGUAAGCUCCUUUUAAGUUUAAUAAAUGACUUCGUACCUUGAUCAUCAGGAUACAUCUGUAGCGUAUGAAGUACAGUGUCUGUCAUCCCUUGCUGAGACAACAUUUCUAAGGCUCCUGAACACUCUACCACAGAUGAAAGUAUCUGAAAUCCACACUUCUGAAUUCCGGGAUGGCCAAUGAACUAGAAAUAAAGAGAAAAUAAACACGGGCACACUAAAGAACUGAAAUAAAGAGUUAAAUAUAUUUUUGUUCAUUUUUUGCAAACAUAAAAAAACAUUACUGCAGUAUUUAAGUAAUCAGCAAUUUGAAUAUUGUUGAGUUGGUUCAAUUAAUGUCAUGGUUCUAUGAAAGUUAAACUGAUGUAGAGUUGUAUGUCUUACAAUUUAACUGCUUUGAGUAGACUAGAGGAUAGAAAUGUAUUAAAACAAACAAAGGGCCCUUCCACACAGCCAUAUAACCCAGAAUAUCAAGGCAGAUAGUCCACAAUAUUGUCUUUGAACUGGAUUAUCUGAGUCCACACUGCCAUAUAAUCCAGUUCAAUGUGAAUUUUAUACAGCUAUGUGGAAGAAGCCAAAGUUGGGGAUCACACCAAGUAGGCCUUGAAAUGAUUGAUUAUCAUUUUGAGCUUCCAGUGACCAGUGAUGUCAAUGAUUAUUAUUAAUUUUUACUGUGUAGUUCACAGACACAAAACAAAUUUUAAAAUGUAAAAGCAUUGACCUUUUCUUCACAUAAGUUGCAGCAACUGAUCAAAGAUGAGAAAAGAAUUGUGUUUUUCUAGCAUUUUAUCUUCUAAAUACACUAAUGUUACUAUGCUAUCCUCCAGCUGUACACUCACAGAAUCACAGAGCUGGAAGAAACCUCGUCGGCCAUCUAGUCCAACCCCUGCCAAGAAGCAGGAAAACUGCAUUCAAAGCAUCCCCGACAGAUGGCCAUCAAAGAAGGAGCCUCCACCACACUCUGUAGCAGAGAGUUCCACUGCUGAACAGCUCUCACAGUUAAGAAGUUCUUCCUGAGGUUCAGAAGGAAAACUUGCCAUGAGAAGAAAAAUAAUGAACUGUACCGUGUUGAGAGCAUCGAGGACCAAUGCGUGAGUCCCUUCUAACAAAC
Long non-coding RNA from Anolis carolinensis (green anole), 1282 nucleotides. RefSeq lists it as uncharacterized. Lineage: Eukaryota; Metazoa; Chordata; Lepidosauria; Squamata; Anolidae. The record is from RefSeq and is a predicted model, not a curated record. The transcript is spliced from 3 exons.